Molecule: ribosomal RNA, 331 nt
Filed under: uncultured bacterium
Lineage: Bacteria
Description: bacterial SSU rRNA
Rfam family: Bacterial small subunit ribosomal RNA
Source: RNAcentral
CGCGUAGGCGGUUCGUACAGUCAGACGUGAAAUUCCCGGGCUCAACCUGGGGGCUGCGUUUGAUACGUGCGGGCUGGAGUUCGGAAGAGGGUCGUGGAAUUCCCAGUGUAGAGGUGAAAUUCGUAGAUAUUGGGAAGAACACCGGUGGCGAAGGCGGCGACCUGGUCCGAUACUGACGCUGAGGCGCGAAAGCGUGGGGAGCAAACAGGAUUAGAUACCCUGGUAGUCCACGCCGUAAACGAUGUGUGCUGGAUGUUGGGCGGUCUGACCGUUCAGUGUCGUAGCCAACGCGAUAAGCACACCGCCUGGGGAGUACGGCCGCAAGGUUGAA